Molecule: ribosomal RNA, 159 nt
Filed under: Arthrostemma ciliatum
Lineage: Eukaryota; Viridiplantae; Streptophyta; Magnoliopsida; Myrtales; Melastomataceae
Also listed under: 3 other names
Description: 5.8S ribosomal RNA
Rfam family: 5.8S ribosomal RNA
About the family: 5.8S ribosomal RNA (5.8S rRNA) is a component of the large subunit of the eukaryotic ribosome.
Source: RNAcentral
AAUGACUCUCGGCAACGGAUAUCUCGGCUCUUGCAUCGAUGAAGAACGUAGCGAAAUGCGAUACUUGGUGUGAAUUGCAGAAUCCCGCGAACCAUCAAUUCUUUGAACGCAAGUUGCGCCCGAAGCCAUUCGGCCGAGGGCACGCCUGCCUGGGUGUCG